Molecule: ribosomal RNA, 468 nt
Filed under: uncultured bacterium
Lineage: Bacteria
Description: partial 16S ribosomal RNA
Rfam family: Bacterial small subunit ribosomal RNA
Source: RNAcentral
GACGAACGCUGGCGGCGUGCUUAACACAUGCAAGUCGAACGGAAAGGCCCUGCUUUUGUGGGGUGCUCGAGUGGCGAACGGGUGAGUAACACGUGAGUAACCUGCCCUUGACUUUGGGAUAACUUCAGGAAACUGGGGCUAAUACCGGAUAGGAGCUCCUGCUGCACGGUGGGGGUUGGAAAGUUUCGGCGGUUGGGGAUGGACUCGCGGCUUAUCAGCUUGUUGGUGGGGUAGUGGCUUACCAAGGCUUUGACGGGUAGCCGGCCUGAGAGGGUGACCGGCCACAUUGGGACUGAGAUACGGCCCAGACUCCUACGGGAGGCAGCAGUGGGGAAUAUUGCACAAUGGGCGGAAGCCUGAGGCAGCAACGCCGCGUGCGGGAUGACGGCCUUCGGGUUGUAAACCGCUUUCGCCUGUGACGAAGCGUGAGUGACGGUAAUGGGUAAAGAAGCACCGGCUAACUACGUG